Lontra canadensis (Northern American river otter) is the source of this 418-nucleotide non-coding RNA. NCBI's taxonomy places the organism in Eukaryota, Metazoa, Chordata, Mammalia, Carnivora, Mustelidae. The record is from the annotation of a RefSeq genome assembly.
AGCCCCAGUCCUGGGAUUUCCAGGUGUCCACAUUCACUGAGCAGGACAGGACACAGUGAACUCACCAUGGAGUUUGUGCUGGGCUGGGUUUUCCUUGUUGCUCUUUUAAAAGGUGUCCAGUCUGAGGUGCAGCUGGUGGAGUCUGGGGGAGACCUGGUGAAGCCUGGGGGGUCUCUGAGACUCUCCUGUGAAACCUCUGGAUUCACCAUCAGUAAUAAUGAAAUGAACUGGGUCCGCCAGGCUCCAGAGAAGGAGCUGCAGUGGGUCGCAUAUAUUAACAGUGUUGGAAGCACAUACUAUGCAGAUUCUGUGAAGGGAUGAUUCACCAUCUCCAGAGACAAAAGCAAGAACACGCUGUAUCUGCAGAUGAGCAGCCUGAGAGCCGAGGACACGGCCGUGUAUUACUGUGCGAGAGACA